AACGAACGCUGGCGGCGUGCUUAACACAUGCAAGUCGAACGCGAAGGGACUUCGGUCCUGAGUAAAGUGGCGCACGGGUGAGUAACGCGUAGAUAACCUGUCUUCAUGUCUGGAAUAAUACGCCGAAAGGGGUACUAAUACCGGAUAUUCUUGCUUUUCAUAAGUUAUGCAAGCAAAGGUGGCCUCUGCAUAUGCUACUGCAUGAAGAGGGGUCUGCGUACCAUUAGCUAGUAGGUGGGGUAAUGGCCUACCUAGGCGACGAUGGUUAGCGGGUCUGAGAGGAUGAUCCGCCACACUGGCACUGGAACACGGGCCAGACUCCUACGGGAGGCAGCAGUGAGGAAUAUUGCGCAAUGGGGGAAACCCUGACGCAGCGACGCCGCGUGAGUGAGGAAGGCCUUCGGGUCGUAAAGCUCUGUCAAGAGGAAAGAAGUGUACAAUGGCUAAUACCUGUUGUAUUUGACGGUACCUCUAAAGGAAGCACCGGCUAACUCCGUGCCAGCCGCCGC
This 509-nucleotide ribosomal RNA is filed under the name uncultured bacterium. RNAcentral's name for it is "bacterial SSU rRNA". It matches the Rfam family "Bacterial small subunit ribosomal RNA", at positions 29 to 518 of the family's 1533-position model. The record is from RNAcentral.